This 453-nucleotide long non-coding RNA is filed under the name Bos taurus (domestic cattle). Its description in RNAcentral is "long non-coding RNA NONBTAT005763". The record is from RNAcentral. Lineage: Eukaryota; Metazoa; Chordata; Mammalia; Artiodactyla; Bovidae.
CCCUCCUCCACCUUAAGUGAAAUGUUCAUCUUGUCAUCCCCUCCCCCACCCCAAAAAGCACUCAUAAAAUGAAAGAAGAUGCCCACAUUUUACUGCAGCACUCAACCUCAAUGCUAUGCCUGAGAAUCUACAGACAGACCUAUCACUUUAAUGUGUUGAAUUAUGAGGAAAAAGAAAAGCUAACAAACAUUUCCAAUACUAAUUUCCUGCUCCCAAAGCUUUAACCACUCAAUAAAGCAAAAAAAGGAAUAUUCUACACCACAGAAUACAGUGAAUUCAAACCAAACUGGGAUAGGUACUCCCUGGUUUAACCUUCAAGAAACUGCAGCUCCUCUUCAAUCACGAUCAGCAACUUUUUUCUAGUCCUGGCAGCAUUUAAAGAGUAACAACUGUUAAACUGUGAUCACUUGGCUGCCUAUCAUCACUAGAGGCUAUAUUCAUUCUAAACUUGCA